CUGGUCUGAGGCUGAAGCUGCAGCGCUGCUGUAACGGCGCCGUGUGCUGGAGCUCGGCCUGUGAGACCCAGAUUAUAACAGAGGAGGCCGGACAGGUCGACCCUGGCAGUUACAGGUGUGAGCAUGCAUUCAGCCGCUUGAUGCUCAUGUAUGAUGCUGCAGACACUU
This 168-nucleotide non-coding RNA is filed under the name Astyanax mexicanus (Mexican tetra). Lineage: Eukaryota; Metazoa; Chordata; Actinopteri; Characiformes; Acestrorhamphidae. The record is from RNAcentral.